Molecule: ribosomal RNA, 818 nt
Filed under: uncultured bacterium
Lineage: Bacteria
Description: bacterial SSU rRNA
Rfam family: Bacterial small subunit ribosomal RNA
Source: RNAcentral
GGCGAACGGGUGAGUAACACGUGAGAAACCUGCCCCGGGCUUUGGGAUAACAGCGGGAAACCGCUGCUAAUACCAGAUAUCCUCCCUCAACCGCAUGGUGGAGGGAGAAAAGGUCCGCUGGCCCGGGAUGGUCUCGCGGCCCAUCAGCUUGUUGGCGGGGUAACGGCCCACCAAGGCAGCGACGGGUAGCUGGUGUGAGAGCAUGACCAGCCACACUGGGACUGAGACACGGCCCAGACUCCUACGGGAGGCAGCAGUGGGGAAUCUUGCGCAAUGGGCGAAAGCCUGACGCAGCGACGCCGCGUGAGGGAUGAAGGCCUUCGGGUUGUAAACCUCUUUCAGCGGGGACGAAGCGAAAGUGACGGUACCCGCAGAAGAAGCCCCGGCCAACUACGUGCCAGCAGCCGCGGUAAUACGUAGGGGGCAAGCGUUGUCCGGAUUUAUUGGGCGUAAAGAGCUCGUAGGCGGCUUUGUAAGUCGGAUGUGAAAUCUCAUGGCUUAACCGUGAGCGGCCAUUCGAUACUGCAAGGCUAGAGGCCGGUAGGGGGACAUGGAAUUCCUGGUGUAGCGGUGAAAUGCGCAGAUAUCAGGAGGAACACCGGUGGCGAAGGCGGUGUCCUGGGCCGGUCCUGACGCUGAGGAGCGAAAGCUGGGGGAGCAAACAGGAUUAGAUACCCUGGUAGUCCCAGCCGUAAACGAUGGGUGCUAGGUGUGGGAGGCUAUCGACGCUUUCCGUGCCGCAGCUAACGCAUUAAGCACCCCGCCUGGGGAGUACGGCCGCAAGGCUAAAACUCAAAGGAAUUGACGGGGACCCGCAC